RNAcentral lists this ribosomal RNA (1556 nucleotides) under Klebsiella pneumoniae. Its description in RNAcentral is "bacterial SSU rRNA". It matches the Rfam family "Bacterial small subunit ribosomal RNA". The record is from RNAcentral. Lineage: Bacteria; Pseudomonadati; Pseudomonadota; Gammaproteobacteria; Enterobacterales; Enterobacteriaceae.
ACUUAAAUUGAAGAGUUUGAUCAUGGCUCAGAUUGAACGCUGGCGGCAGGCCUAACACAUGCAAGUCGAGCGGUAGCACAGAGAGCUUGCUCUCGGGUGACGAGCGGCGGACGGGUGAGUAAUGUCUGGGAAACUGCCUGAUGGAGGGGGAUAACUACUGGAAACGGUAGCUAAUACCGCAUAAUGUCGCAAGACCAAAGUGGGGGACCUUCGGGCCUCAUGCCAUCAGAUGUGCCCAGAUGGGAUUAGCUAGUAGGUGGGGUAACGGCUCACCUAGGCGACGAUCCCUAGCUGGUCUGAGAGGAUGACCAGCCACACUGGAACUGAGACACGGUCCAGACUCCUACGGGAGGCAGCAGUGGGGAAUAUUGCACAAUGGGCGCAAGCCUGAUGCAGCCAUGCCGCGUGUGUGAAGAAGGCCUUCGGGUUGUAAAGCACUUUCAGCNGGGGAGGAAGGCGAUAAGGUUAAUAACCUUGUCGAUUGACGUUACCCGCAGAAGAAGCACCGGCUAACUCCGUGCCAGCAGCCGCGGUAAUACGGAGGGUGCAAGCGUUAAUCGGAAUUACUGGGCGUAAAGCGCACGCAGGCGGUCUGUCAAGUCGGAUGUGAAAUCCCCGGGCUUAACCUGGGAACUGCAUUCGAAACUGGCAGGCUAGAGUCUUGUAGAGGGGGGUAGAAUUCCAGGUGUAGCGGUGAAAUGCGUAGAGAUCUGGAGGAAUACCGGUGGCGAAGGCGGCCCCCUGGACAAAGACUGACGCUCAGGUGCGAAAGCGUGGGGAGCAAACAGGAUUAGAUACCCUGGUAGUCCACGCCGUAAACGAUGUCGAUUUGGAGGUUGUGCCCUUGAGGCGUGGCUUCCGGAGCUAACGCGUUAAAUCGACCGCCUGGGGAGUACGGCCGCAAGGUUAAAACUCAAAUGAAUUGACGGGGGCCCGCACAAGCGGUGGAGCAUGUGGUUUAAUUCGAUGCAACGCGAAGAACCUUACCUGGUCUUGACAUCCACAGAACUUUCCAGAGAUGGAUUGGUGCCUUCGGGAACUGUGAGACAGGUGCUGCAUGGCUGUCGUCAGCUCGUGUUGUGAAAUGUUGGGUUAAGUCCCGCAACGAGCGCAACCCUUAUCCUUUGUUGCCAGCGGUUAGGCCGGGAACUCAAAGGAGACUGCCAGUGAUAAACUGGAGGAAGGUGGGGAUGACGUCAAGUCAUCAUGGCCCUUACGACCAGGGCNUACACACGUGCUACAAUGGCAUAUACAAAGAGAAGCGACCUCGCGAGAGCAAGCGGACCUCAUAAAGUAUGUCGUAGUCCGGAUUGGAGUCUGCAACUCGACUCCAUGAAGUCGGAAUCGCUAGUAAUCGUAGAUCAGAAUGCUACGGUGAAUACGUUCCCGGGCCUUGUACACACCGCCCGUCACACCAUGGGAGUGGGUUGCAAAAGAAGUAGGUAGCUUAACCUUCGGGAGGGCGCUUACCACUUUGUGAUUCAUGACUGGGGUGAAGUCGUAACAAGGUAACCGUAGGGGAACCUGCGGUUGGAUCACCUCCUUACCUUAAAGAA